CACGCCCACAUUCCCAUGUGCAUGUAGAGCAGAUUCGCGGAAGAUAGCCGAGAGCCACGUCGGCGGGGCUUCUGGAGGCACGGGGUCUGGGGGAAAGGGAGUCUCGUUCUCCCUGAGCGGCGCAGUGAGCGGACUCGCAGUGUGUCUCCGCUUAAUAGACCCCCGCCAGAGGAAAGCCCGCGCCCGGCCGCGGCCAAGCCCCGCUGGCCUUUUUUUGCGAAUCACUCGACGCCCCCUUGGGCCGAGGUCGCGAGGACAGGAUCGCUGAAGGCCCUCCCACCCGCUGCCCCGCCCCUGGUGAGGGCGGGACGACGAGACCCCACUUUUCCACGGGAGAAAAACCGAGGUGUGGUCCUUUGAGGAGACCUCACGGUUUGUGAGAGUUCGCGCCCCAGGGCCCUCGCUAGCGUCGCCCCGCUAAGCGGGAGGCUGCGGCCCCUCACUGCCCCCAUCCCACGCCAGGGCCUGAACGGCACGAUGCCCCGCCCCUCCCGGGACGGCUCUGUGAGGGCGGGCCGCCCGCCUUCCCGCCUCCAGGCCGCGCCCGCUCCCCAAUGAGGGCUGGGCACGCCCCUGAUGCGAGGCGUCGCGCCCCCGCCCCCGCAGGCGCCGUGCUUGCGGAGCCACCCCUCCCAGAGGCGCGGUGCUUCACCUCGCCUUCUGUCACUGGCGUUCCCUUAAACUGACGGCGUGGCUCGAGGGGCUGCUUAAUCCCCCCAAUUCUAUGUUAGAUGCUCUCCCCCCCCCCCCAUCCGAAGUAAACAACCGAAGCUAGGGGAAAACGGGAGGCUUGCUACGCUAACGCAGCCUCAAAACGGCUCCCGGUCCCCUUCCAACCAAAGGCACCCGCCUCCCCAAUACAGAAAUUCAGGAGGUGCUUCGACUGUGCUGUGGGUCACCGAGAGCCCUGCUGUCCCCGAUCCCUUAGAAUCCUGCCUCAGGGCUGGAGGCAAUGAGUUGCCAUUCUUGCCCGGCCCCCGUGCUUGGCCACAGGCCGCAGCCACACCAGCCUGGUUUCGUCUGGGGUUUCAUCCACUCACACGAGGUGAAUGGACUCUGUGUCUCCUCCCCGCACCGCGUCGCGUUGCCCGCGGUUUCCAAGGCUUCUGGAAGCCAGGACCGCGUGGGCAGCUGAGGGUGGAGGAGCUGAGAGGGGAACUCCCGUCUCCAGCCCUGCCCUGGGAGCCAGGUUCUUAAGGGUUAAGCCGGCCCAUCUUCCCACCAUCCCUUUCCAUAUUAGGAACCCAGGAGCCCUGCCUCCCAGUAAGGAAGCCAAUCUCAUUUUCUGAAAUGGAACAGGAGCCAUCUCCCAGCCCCUUCUCCAAAAUCUGCAGUUCAGUAGCUGUCCGUGCCUCAGAUUCUACCAUCAGAGCUUCAUUGUUUUCAUUAGAGCUUGUCUUUUUGUUCCAGAAAGAAAUCACACCUAGAAGAAAAAGAGGCAGAGUAUCAGGCACUUGGAAAAAGAUCUGACCUGAGGUGAAGUAAAGGACCCACACUGAGGCAGAGCCCCGUGGACCUGAUGCCUGGCCCCUUCUGCUCUCCCUGGCACUCCCGUAACUUCUGGCCACUGGACUAUGCCUGCUCACCAAGCCCCACUGAAGGGUGCAAAGCAGCAGCUGGCAGAGGAGGGCAGUGUGAAGAUUUCUGUUCAGUUCCCUCCCCCUCAACAUUUGGGAAAGACGCUGCCAUCACCCGGCCUACUCCCCUCUGGGUCCAGAUGGGAAAACAAAGCCUAGAAGGUCCAGGAGGUGCCAGUGCCCCUAAGGAAAGAGCUAGAAAAGGAAGAAUCACAUCCCAGGCUUCAAGAGAAGGUGGCUGAGUGCUGGAAGGCACGCUGGCACCAGGUGGUAGUUGCUCUGAAAUUGAAAGAACUGCAGAGACCCCAGACAGAGACUGAGGCCUGGUCUCCCCAGCUGGGUGCUCUCUGCCCACCUUCCUCUCCCUCCCCACGUGCCCCCUCUCCUCCUUCUCUUCCCCACUGUCCAGUCUUUCCUACUGCGAGCCAUUUAGGGUCUUUCUGCUCUUAGGCUGCCCACUAGCUUUAUCCUACACUUCCUUCCUUUCUCCUGCUUCUUCCUCAUUACGCUCCAUCCACCCACCCACCCAUCCUUCUUUCCAUCCCCCCCGUUCACCCAGCAUACCUUCCCUGAACAUCUACUGCAUGUCUGGCCCUCUUCUGUGUGCAGGAGAACCAAAGUCAGAUCAGACCACUCCUCGUCCCCAAAAGUUUAUGGUUUGGGGCCACAUAGUCAUCAAGUGGGCCAUUACAAUUUAAUACGUCUGAUGAGGAGAGGGGCACCUCGGUGGCUCAGUCAGUUGAGCAUCUGAUUCUUGGUUUCAGCUCAGGUCAUGAUAAUGGUUUGUGGGUUCAAGCCCCACGUCAGGCUCUAUGCUGACAGCACGGAGCCUGCUUGGGAUUCUCUCUCUCUCUCUGCCCCUCCCCUGCUUGCUCUCUCUCUUCCUCUCUCAAAAAUAAAUACAUCAACAUUUAAAAAUAUAUGUCUGGGGCGCCUGGGUGGCUCAAUUGGUUAAGCGUCCAACUUUGGCUCAGGUCAUGAUCUCGCAGUCUGUGAGCUUGAGCCCUGUGUCGGGCUCUGUGUUGACAGCUCAGAGCCUGGAGGCUGCUUAAGAUUCUGUGUCUCCCUCUCUCUUUGACCCUCCCCCACUCACGCUCUGUCUCUCUGUCUCUCUGUCUC
This is a long non-coding RNA of Neofelis nebulosa (Clouded leopard), 2696 nucleotides long. RefSeq lists it as uncharacterized. The transcript is spliced from 4 exons. NCBI's taxonomy places the organism in Eukaryota, Metazoa, Chordata, Mammalia, Carnivora, Felidae. The record is from RefSeq and is a predicted model, not a curated record.